RNAcentral lists this ribosomal RNA (460 nucleotides) under uncultured bacterium. Its description in RNAcentral is "partial 16S ribosomal RNA". It matches the Rfam family "Bacterial small subunit ribosomal RNA", at positions 338 to 795 of the family's 1533-position model. The record is from RNAcentral.
CCUACGGGAGGCAGCAGUGAGGAAUAUUGGUCAAUGGACGCAAGUCUGAACCAGCCAUGCCGCGUGCAGGAAGACGGCUCUAUGAGUUGUAAACUGCUUUUGUACGAGGGUAAACGCAGAUACGCGUAUCUGUCUGAAAGUAUCGUACGAAUAAGGAUCGGCUAACUCCGUGCCAGCAGCCGCGGUAAUACGGAGGAUUCAAGCGUUAUCCGGAUUUAGUGGGUUUAAAGGGUGCGUAGGCGGUCGGAUAAGUUAGAGGUGAAAUCCCGAGGCUCAACUUCGGAAUUGCCUCUGAUACUGGUCGGCUAGAGAGUAGUUGCGGUAGGCGGAAUGUAUGGUGUAGCGGUGAAAUGCUUAGAGAUCAUACAGAACACCGAUUGCGAAGGCAGCUUACCAGGCUACUUCUGACGUUGAGGCACGAAAGCGUGGGGAGCAAACAGGAUUAGAUACCCGGGUAGUC